UUAAUACCCCGCGCCGGCUCGCCGCGCCGGGAUUCUCGUGCCGGUUGUCCGGGAAGGAGGCGCUAGGUCAGCUCUGAGGCCGCAGAUAGCUUUACUCCCAACGCUGCGUCCAUCCGGAGUGGAGCAUACCUCCCCGCGUACUCUUGGAGAGCGAGCGGGGCUGCGACCCUGAGAUCCAGCGCUGUCGUGCGUUCCCCAGGCCGCCGGGACCUUGCCACAGGCACUGGGGCGGCAGGUGAGCGAAGGCGGCUGCGCAGGAGAGCGAGAGAGCUCAGGUAGAUAACUUGGAGGACCAGGAAGCUGAAGCAGCAACGAUGAGGGUGUCUGCGUCUGAAGCCAUGAUUUAACUGUUAAGAUUUCAACAAAAAGAACUUAGGAUUCCUGGGAUUCCCACAUCAAAGAAAAGCUGCAAGCUUUCAGAAAGAGUUUUCCUUGGAUGAUAAAGAAGAACCUGCCAACCACCGGAGAGGCCUUGAUGCCAAGUGCUUAGCUGCACUCCCUAAAGUUGCAGAAUUAAGAAAAAUCUUCGAACCAAAGAGAAAAGACUUUUUAGAAAUGAAAAGAAAAGAAAGAAUUGCUAGGCGCUUAGAAGGAAUAGAAAAUGACCCCCAGCCUAUCCUGCUGCAGAGCUGCACAGGGCUAGUGACUCACCGGCUGCUGGAAGAGGACACGCCCAG
Molecule: long non-coding RNA, 677 nt
Filed under: Rattus norvegicus (Norway rat)
Lineage: Eukaryota; Metazoa; Chordata; Mammalia; Rodentia; Muridae
Description: long non-coding RNA NONRATT012993
Source: RNAcentral